RNAcentral lists this ribosomal RNA (429 nucleotides) under Bacteroidota bacterium. RNAcentral describes it as "Bacteroidetes bacterium partial 16S ribosomal RNA". It matches the Rfam family "Bacterial small subunit ribosomal RNA", at positions 355 to 776 of the family's 1533-position model. The record is from RNAcentral. Lineage: Bacteria; Pseudomonadati; Bacteroidota.
UAGGGAAUCUUCGGCAAUGGGGGGAACCCUGACCGAGCAACGCCGCGUGAGUGAAGAAGGUUUUCGGAUCGUAAAGCUCUGUUGUUAAGGAAGAACGAGUGUGAGAAUGGAAAGUUCAUGCUGUGACGGUACUUAACCAGAAAGGGACGGCUAACUACGUGCCAGCAGCCGCGGUAAUACGUAGGUCCCGAGCGUUGUCCGGAUUUAUUGGGCGUAAAGCGAGCGCAGGCGGUUAGAUAAGUCUGAAGUUAAAGGCAGUGGCUCAACCAUUGUAGGCUUUGGAAACUGUUUAACUUGAGUGCAGAAGGGGAGAGUGGAAUUCCAUGUGUAGCGGUGAAAUGCGUAGAUAUAUGGAGGAACACCGGUGGCGAAAGCGGCUCUCUGGUCUGUAACUGACGAUGAGGCUCGAAAGCGUGGGGAGCGAACAGG